This 76-nucleotide transfer RNA is filed under the name Clostridium botulinum. RNAcentral's name for it is "tRNA-Lys". It matches the Rfam family "tRNA". From Rfam's summary of the family: Transfer RNA (tRNA) molecules are approximately 80 nucleotides in length. Their secondary structure includes four short double-helical elements and three loops (D, anti-codon, and T loops). RNAcentral also lists the same sequence under 6 other names. Lineage: Bacteria; Bacillati; Bacillota; Clostridia; Eubacteriales; Clostridiaceae. The record is from RNAcentral.
GACUCAUUAGCUCAGUUGGUAGAGCACCUGACUCUUAAUCAGGGUGUCCCGGGUUCGAGCCCCGGAUGGGUCACCA